RNAcentral lists this long non-coding RNA (3508 nucleotides) under Carassius auratus (goldfish). Its description in RNAcentral is "lncRNA (ENSCARG00000036337.1)". The record is from RNAcentral. Lineage: Eukaryota; Metazoa; Chordata; Actinopteri; Cypriniformes; Cyprinidae.
AUGUGGCUGACAAAUGAGUCCAAGCUCCAGUGGCCUGGGAGAUCUAUCAGCCUUCUUCUUCUCCUUGGCUGGAAGCUUAAAGUUAUCAGAGCUGCAGAAAGAGCUCCACAGGCACAAGAUCAGCUGCUGACCGGAGGGUUGCAUUACCUCAUGGUGAAUGCGUCUGAACAUGCAGACAGAGAGGUGGAAAAAGAGAAGGAGCGAAAGAGAGAGAAGAGUGGGUCCAUGACCUAAUUGAACGGCACUGAAACCGAGAUCGAGUCAGCAGCGGGAGAAGAGCAGCAGCAUCUUCAUUCAUUCCCGUUGACAGUGUUUUUGCAACUUAAACCUGUUUUAUUAAUUAUGUUUGACAUUUCCCUAAUUAGUUUCAUUUAAAUCACAUCAGCUCCUAGCAGAUGAUUGUGCCGUACAUCAAUUCACCACAGCUUUGUAAAUUAGUUAGAGAGGGAGAGAGCUAAGGCGAAGCAGAGCAACUGGUUUUUUGCAACUGGUUUUUUGCACAAAUUAACUAUGCCUUUACUGGAUCAUUUUCAUCUAUUGUAAUGUUAUUCGAUUAUGCAGAGCAGAACUGUACUUGUAGUCACUGACACACUUCAGUGGCACUUCAUCUCAAUGAAAGGGUGGCUCUGCACACAAAACACCUGUUUAACUUCCUCUUUCCUCAUGAAAAUAAAAAUAUAACUCUUUACUAGCAUAUCAGGGAUAUCACACUCUUUCUAAAGAAUACUAUAAAUUUGCUUUUUUUUGGACAGUCUAUGUAACUUAAAUCAGCAAAUAGUUUGCAUGAAACUAAACUGCACAACUAGUUGUUGAUGCAAUAACGUUAUUUUUUUUUUCAACAAAACUGUUUAUUAUUGUUGUUGUUGCUGCUGCUGUAGUUUGUUUACUUAUUUAAUAUGUAUACUAAGUAUUCCAAUAGUUAUUUUUAUAUUACAAGUUUUACAAUUACAUUUUACUUUAUUACUUUUUAAUUUAUUUGUAUAUUUUAUUUACUUAAAUUCUACUACAGUUGCAUACCUAAAUUAAAAUGAUAAAUAUUAUUUAUGUACUUUACAAUAGUUUUCAUAAAAUUGUUGUAUCCUGCAUUUCCCCAUUUUUCUCUCCAAAAUAUUCUCAAAAAAAAAAAAAAAAACUGCUUUCUGGCGCAGCCCAUAAGACCAGAGAGAGCACAUUGUUUAAAAGCAACAGCUUAAAGAGCUGAAGCUAAACAUGGUGGUUCAGUCAAUGGUGGCUCACUAACAAUUGUUGAAUGGUAAAUUGUCUCCAGUCAUACAUCUCAAAAAAUAACCACAAUAUGGAAGCUACUCCAGUGCUGCAUAUGGUUGUGCCUCCCAAAACAUUACAGUGUGUAUAUUGAUAUGUCCUCCAAAUUUCAUAUUUCUUCCUUAUAAAUGUUGGUAUUUUACACAGUUACAUAUUUAUUGUCAGCUAUGGACUUAAAGGUGCUAGGAGACAAUUCCUGAAAAUCUGAAAAUGAGCAAUGUGACAAUGCAAAAAUUAUGCAAACAAGCUUAGCCUUAUUACACAGCAAUGUUAACUUUUGAAAGUUUUACGUUUACUAAAUUUAGUAGAAACCCCUUUGAGAGAAUAGCCAUCCAGAUUGUCACCGGUGUGUUUGCCUAAGAUACCUUGGGUAUUUAUCUUGCUUGCCCAUAUUUGGUCUUUGAGGUGCAAUCCAGCAUCAACAGAUGGGAGCAAAAAUGGGCACAGUGCUACAAAUAACCCUCAUCUGAAAAAAAAAAUACACUUUUCUCUUCAGAGAGCGGCAUUUCACAGAGAAAGGCCCGUAAACAGUCGACUAAUUGACACUGCUGUUGCCAGUCAUGUGUACGGCCCUACAUUAUGGUGCAAUCUUUCAUUACUAGAGGGAAAAGCACAGCAUUAUUUUUAUCCUGUCUCAACAUCAAAGGCUGCUUCUCUCAGGGACCCGGGGAGACAACACAACUGUGCCCUUAAUGUUUAUCUUGUUUAAGCCCCUUAGUGAAGCCCUUAGUGGAGCAGGCAUCUCUAAAGCCCCCAUUUUCCUCUUCCAGUCCUCCUUCUCCCUCACCUCGCUACCGUCUUUCAGAAACAGAACUAACGUAACUGAGACCUGAGGACAGAAGCACUUGGAGCCAUUAAAGUGGGACCCUGUCUGAAACUACAGCUCUGUUUCAAGCCUACUCUGCCUACUGCCAGUAUAGCCAGCAUCUUAACCAUCAUUGAAGCUCAUGAGUGAGUGAUUUGGAAUCCUCUGUAGAGAUAGCAACUCCAAACAGAACACAAACUGAGCAGCUCUCAAUUUAUUUCAAUAUGUUUUAACACUAGCAUGUCGCUAUUCUAAAACUGUGAAUGUUGCUAUUCUAAAACUGUAAUAAGCAACAAUAAAAAAUAAAUAAAUAAAUAUGGUUUUCAUUAUGGUUUUAACCAUUUAACCAUUCACUAUCUUAUAUACAGUAUAACAGUUAAUUAAAACCGUAAAAACAUUAAUAACAUAACUAAAUGUUUCUGACCAACGCUUCUCUCAUCCUGUCUGCCAUUUUGGAAUAUUUCUUUUUUGACUGAGCUCAUCACAGUGCAUUCUUGGAUUGCCUUCUCUGAAGAAGCUAACAAGGUUUUAGAGCAGAAUAAAUGUAAGUGUACGAAAUACAGUGCCUAUUGAACAAGAACACAUUCUCACUUUUAUCAUCGGAGAGAUGAAAUGAGUGCCCUUCCUGCUCCCACUUCCACUUAUUAGACCCAGUCCAGGGAGAGAAACCGCAGCCAGACUGAUUAUGGGGCAUUGACUGCUUCCCCUCGAUUAGGGCAGUGCUCAGAUAUGGCUGAACGGAUAAUAUGAUUCGAUACAGGGUCAAUACAGUGCAUUGAUGAAUUGCUGAUGUGACCCAAAGACUUAAAGCCCAGCUAAUCACUGCUCAAAGGCCACACUAUUAAUGUGAAUCCAACAGUAUGCUGAAGAAAGUCAAAAGAGAAGUCACCUGUUGUACCACAGAGAGCCUCUGAACUUUCCCUUUCCUGACCAAUGAUGUGACCUAAUGAGUGAGCUGUCAAAAGAAUUAAAAAAAAGAAGCAAGCACACUACUUUCAUCUUAUAUAGUAAAUGGAUGUUGAUGGAACAUUAAUAACAGCCCUUUGUUUAUAGUUUUAUUCCAUGUCAUUUAUAACAGGUGUAAAUAAUGAGAGACUUGUCAGUGUAAUGUGCAAAUGUCAGCACUUUAUGAAUUGACUUUCCCCCACAGUCACCAGCUCUGUUCUAUCCUCUUGGAAUUAUAAGGUUCUAUCUGCAUUCCGAGUAGUUUUGAGAUAUUGAGCUUCAAAGUUGCAUUCCAUUUGACUGUGUAGAUAGAACCUUAUUGUUUUUUAAAUAAAUAAAUGUAUACAACAUAAAAAAGUCUAUCACAUAAUGUAAAUAAGUUGUCACAGAAUAACAAUAUGGGAAUAACCCAAUUUAGACAUAAAUGUCAGAUACAACCUUAUAAUUCCAAAGGGACGUGUUUUCACACAGUUGCAAGCUUAAUUAUAAUCAAGG